Molecule: ribosomal RNA, 505 nt
Filed under: uncultured bacterium
Lineage: Bacteria
Description: bacterial SSU rRNA
Rfam family: Bacterial small subunit ribosomal RNA
Source: RNAcentral
AAUCAACGCUGGCGGCGUGCCUAACACAUGCAAGUCGAGCGAGAAAGGGAGCUUCGGCUCCCGAGUACAGCGGCGGACGGGUGAGGAACACGUGGGUAACCUACCCUCGGGUGGGGAAUAACCCAGGGAAACCUGGGCUAAUUCCGCAUAACAUCUUUAGCUCGCAAGAGUUAUUGAUCAAAGCUGGGGACCCUUCGGGGCCUGGCGCCUGUGGAGGGGCCCGCGGCCGAUUAGCUUGUUGGUGAGGUAACGGCUCACCAAGGCUCCGAUCGGUAGCCGGCCUAAGAGGGCGGACGGCCACACUGGGACUGAGACACGGCCCAGACUCCUACGGGAGGCAGCAGUGGGGAAUUUUUGUCAAUGGGGGAAACCCUGAACAAGCAACGCCGCGUGGAGGACGAAGACCCUCGGGUCGUAAACUCCUGUCGGAGGGGACGAAAGCGGUCGUAGUUAAUACCUGCGAUCGUUGACGGUACCCUACGAGGAAGCCCCGGCUAACUCCGUG